AUGGACUACCGGGGUUUCUAAUCCCGUUCGCUACCCUAGCUUUCGUUCCUCAGCGUCAGAAAAGAUCCAGUGAGCCGCUUUCGCCACCGGUGUUCCAGAUGAUAUCAACGCAUUUCACCGCUCCACCAUCUGUUCCACUCACCUCUAUCUCCCUCCAGCCCGACGGUUUCAAGCGCAGUUCCACAGUUGAGCUGUGGGAUUUCACACCUGACCUGUCAGGCCGCCUACGAACUCUUUAAGCCCAGUGAUACCGGAUAACGUUCGGACGGUUCGUCUUACCGCGGCUGCUGGC
This 292-nucleotide unclassified non-coding RNA is filed under the name uncultured Pirellulaceae bacterium. Its description in RNAcentral is "contains 16S-23S intergenic spacer region". Lineage: Bacteria; Pseudomonadati; Planctomycetota; Planctomycetia; Pirellulales; Pirellulaceae. The record is from RNAcentral.